CAAACUUUCUGCUGCCACCCAAUCCGUCGCUUGGCGGCGUGACGUUCGCACUGUGACGCUACUUUUGUAUGUAAACCGUUGUAACCCAGUUGCAACGACUAUUGUUUGCUGGACACGAGACGUAUUGGGAGCGGAGCAGAGCGGCGAAUAUUUCAGGUUGGUCACCAUCGUUAGGUACCGCUAGCUACAGCUAGGUACCGUCAUAUGAGCAUCGGUGAUGAUGGACCAACGCGUGCAUAAUCAAGAGACUCGGUCUCGGUAGAGUCUCGGGACAAGUACAUUGACAGCCCUGUUAAAAAAUAUGUGUCCAAACAUGCACUUUUGACGUUGCACGGUCCAAAAAAUAUAUUCCCAUAAACCAAAAAUGAUUUCUUAAUAAAUUAUUAAAUGUAACACAGAACGAACGUCGUUGCUACAGAACAAGAUUUGAAAUAUUUUUAUUGACACUCAUUUUCAAUAAUGUAAGAUAAAUUUUUUUAAAUAAAUAUAUGUAACUCAUUUUAAUAAACUAAA
Long non-coding RNA from Venturia canescens, 513 nucleotides. RefSeq lists it as uncharacterized. The transcript is spliced from 2 exons. The record is from RefSeq and is a predicted model, not a curated record. Lineage: Eukaryota; Metazoa; Arthropoda; Insecta; Hymenoptera; Ichneumonidae.